RNAcentral lists this transfer RNA (75 nucleotides) under Sulfobacillus harzensis. RNAcentral describes it as "Sulfobacillus sp. DSM 109850 tRNA-Thr". It matches the Rfam family "tRNA". Rfam says of the family: Transfer RNA (tRNA) molecules are approximately 80 nucleotides in length. Their secondary structure includes four short double-helical elements and three loops (D, anti-codon, and T loops). Lineage: Bacteria; Bacillati; Bacillota; Clostridia; Eubacteriales; Clostridiales Family XVII. Incertae Sedis. The record is from RNAcentral.
GCCCGGAUAGCUCAACGCCCGAGCAGCCGUCUUGUACACGGCCGGUUGCCGGUUCGAGUCCGGCUCCGGGCUCCA